RNAcentral lists this long non-coding RNA (557 nucleotides) under Homo sapiens (human). RNAcentral describes it as "non-protein coding lnc-ACTR2-3:8". Lineage: Eukaryota; Metazoa; Chordata; Mammalia; Primates; Hominidae. The record is from RNAcentral.
AUUUUGUCUGCUCCUUAAUGUACACGUGGCUGGCCAAGAAGGGAAGAUGGAGCCGCCAUUUUCUAGCUGCCAUGUCUAGUCCCAGGUAGUUCUUUCCUGCCGGCAUUCACCGUGAAAGCUCCCAGCGUGCUUGUCUAUGUCUGCAGCUCAACUUCACAGGCUGCUCUUUGUUAGAAAAUGAUUUGGGGCAGCUUUUCAUUAAAAGAAAAACGUUACCAAGGACUUCUGGACUAUCUGCCUAAAUCUAUGCCUUGAUAGGUCUUCAGUUACUCAUGGUGAAACAUGUAAGCCUUGAAAAACUUUUUGAUAGAGGGAGCCCAAGCCAAGAAGAGAGGUCUGGUAUCAAAGAUUUGCUGAAUUCACAAUUGAAGAGGCUUAUGUCAGUCCCUUAGAAAGAAUUUGAGGACUCCUCGGAAAAUUGCUGAGUUGAGUAAAUAUUUCCUUCCAUAAAGGUAAAUAAGCAUCUCAAGAGCAAGUUUCUACAUUUUGUAUUUCCCUGUUUUAUUUCUGUAAAAUUGUGCAACCAAGAAUUAUGACCUACUGAUAUUAGAAUAAAA